CGCCGGGGGGCGGGGCCGCGCGCCUACUGUGUGCCGGGCGCGCGCCGGAGUCCCGGCCGCGCGUCCUCGCCGCGCCGGGAAGGACGGCGAGUUCCCGGACCUCAGAGCAGCGUCCGCGCCCCGACUCCCGGGGCCGCCCCUGCCCGUGCGGCGCCCAGUGGCGGCCCUCUCCGGAGGCUCGGGGGACUUCCUGCCCCGUGCGGAGGUCGGAGCGGCUGCUGCAGACCACUCCUGGUGCGAGCUCGGAACCACGGGGUCUAGGUCCGCCGCCGCUUGGGGCCGGCCUGUGGCGCGCCGCCGCCCCCUACUCCACCAGCGCCUGGUGCUACACGGCCGCUUCCUGAAGAGUUGUUGGCUGGAGCGAGGGGCGGAUGGAUCCAUUCUGUGCCUGCUGCACCGCUCUAAACGUCCUGCGGGGCCUUGAGAGCGGGUCCUUACCUGGGAGUUAAGGCUACCAGCGCCUCCUGUCCCUCAUCUGUUUUCAUCAGUGAUUCUUAAAUCUGCACCAUCUGGGACGUUGUCACAAACGCAAAUUCCCUGACCCCACUCCAGACCUACCGGAUCAGAAAUUCUGUGUGUGGGUCCAGACACCUGUAUUUUAAUAAGCCCUCCAGCUGAUUCUGGUGCACCCUGAAAUUCGAGACCCACGUGUGGUCCUCACAGCAUCCUGUCAGCCACCGGGGAGGCCUCAGAUGACCACUCCAAUUGACAGAGGACACAACAGAAGCUUAAAGGAGGUUGAGUGUUGCUAAAGGUCACACGACUGUCCUGGAGGAGAGCUGUGCUAGGACCAGCUCUUCCGACAUCCAGCCCAAUUUCCUGUUCUCAGCAAACAUUUAUGGAGUGCCAACUCUGCACUGUUCUAGGUACUGGAGAAGCUGGGGGAAACAAAAUAAAAUCCCUGCCUCUCGAGCUGACAGUGGAAAAAGACAAGCUGUAAAUACACAAACAUAAUCAAGAUGAGGUCAUCAGAGUGAGCCCAGAUCUGAUGUGACUGGUGCCCUUAGAAGAAGAGUAGAAGAGACAGAGACAGACACACAUCAGAAGAAUGACAGUGGAGGCAGAGGUUGAAGCAAUGCAUCGAUCAGCCAAGCAAUGCCAAGGAUUUCAAGCAACACCAGAAACUAAGAGAAAUGUAUGGAAUGGGUUCUCCCCUAGAGCGUUCAGAGAAAGCACGGCCUUGCUGAUAGGACUAAUUGAUUUUGGGCUUCUAGCCUCCAGAAUGGAGAGGGAAUACAUUUCUGUUGUUUUCAGCCACCCAGAUUGUGGUACUUUGUUAUGGCAGCCCUAGGAAACUAAUAGAGAUGGUCAAUUUGAUGUGUCAGCUUAGUUGGGUUUUAAUCCCAAGUUAUUCACUCAAACACUAACUUAGAAGUUGCCAUGAAAAUAUUUUGUAAAUAUAAUUAACGUCUACAAUCAGUUGACUUUACUAAUGGAGAUUAUGUAGGUGGGCCUGAUUCAAUCAGUUGAAAGGCUUUAAGAGCAGAACUGAGGUUGCCUUGCAAAAGAAGAAAUUCUGCCUGUGGACUGCAGCUUCAGCUCAUGUCGGAGAGUUUCAACCUUCCCUCCUGAUGGCCUGCCCUACAGAUUUGGGACUUGCUUAACCAGCCCCUGCAGUUGUAUAAGCCAAUUCCUUGCAAUAAAUCUCUUACUAUA
Leopardus geoffroyi (Geoffroy's cat) is the source of this 1656-nucleotide long non-coding RNA. RefSeq lists it as uncharacterized. The record is from RefSeq and is a predicted model, not a curated record. Lineage: Eukaryota; Metazoa; Chordata; Mammalia; Carnivora; Felidae. The transcript is spliced from 2 exons.